This 76-nucleotide transfer RNA is filed under the name Acropyga silvestrii. Its description in RNAcentral is "tRNA-Ala". Lineage: Eukaryota; Metazoa; Arthropoda; Insecta; Hymenoptera; Formicidae. The record is from RNAcentral.
AGGAUUUUAGUUAAAUUUUAACAUAACAUUUAAAUUGCAUUUAAAAAUUAUAUUUAUUAAACCAAUAUAAAUCUAA